CCCCUCCAGGGAUAGGGCACCCACAGCUUCUCUGGGCAACCUGGGCCAGGCUCUCACCACCCUCACAGCAAAGAAUUUCUUCCUAAUACAUAAUCUAAGUCUGCUUUCUUCCAGUUUAAAACCGUUAGCCCUCUUCCUAUCGCUCCUACUUAGAACCACACAAAACUUACGAAUAAUUGAGAAGAGAGUAAGUUUUGCUAUUUGGUCCUACAACAGGAGAGGAAAAAAGGGAGGAGAGCUCAAGGGCCCCUUCAAGCUUGUCACAGGAAGGAAAAAAAAUAUUUCCUGGUGGAAAUCCAGUAAUCAAUUUGGCCUUGAACCUGUGAGCCAGGCAAAUUAAGCAGGUGCCCAAAAAGUUUCUUAGUAUUACCAGGGGCAUCAGUGCCUCCUGCGAGCAUCCUGUCCCUCGUGGUCGUCAGCAGGCAGGGCUCCACAGGAAGAUGACUUCACCUGGGCUCUGGGUUUGUUUGCAUUCUAAGGGGAAAACGUAUCUACUGUGUCCUGCAAGGCUUGGUUCGUGCCCUCAGAGGAUAUUUUGACCAAGGAUAAACCUUACAUCUCUAUAUUGGUAUAUGAUUUGUUAAUUAAAAUACAGAAACUAUUAGAUGCAGAUCACAGACUGAUUGAUGAGACCAAGUGUAAUAAUGAAGAUAACAGUAGCAUCUUUUUUCGUAUUUUUAGUAAUAAUCUAGAAAUAGAUAUAGAAAACGUUUUCUGUUAAGCCUUUGUGGACAGAUCAGUGACAGUUGAAAAGACAUACAGAUUUAUUGAUACAGAGCAAUCCGAAUGACUUUGUGAGAGCACCUUAAAAUGCACAUUAGUACAGUCAAUUUCAGCUCCGUGUCUCAGAACAAGAAAUCUAGGACAAAUCUGCACAAUUAAAGUCAGAGAGGGACUGAGGAGGCAUGCAAUGUCUGGGUACUUCCAAAAGCAACAGCAAGAGGAGAAUAUUUCUGUGGUUGCAUCAGCAGGAGCAAGCAUAAAUAGGUAUUUUACUUAUAAACAGGUAUUUUACCUCUAUACAAGUUUUAGUGAGAGUUAAUACUGAGACAGCGUAUAUGGUUCUAGAGUCUGGAGUUCUAUGGGGUCUUCUAAAAAGCCACCAACAUUAUUCAAUGGCUGAAGAAACCUGUUUAACUCAUAAAAGAAGACCAGGAGGCGGCUUGAUUGCAACAUGUAAAUAAGUUGAAAUACUUUCCAAACAUAAAAACAUUGCAACAACCCAUUGACUAAAAGCUAAAAGUACAAUUAUCUAUAAGAGGUUUGGGGGUUUGUUUUCUCUUGUUUUUUUCAGCUCGGAAUAGUGCCUUUUUGGAUGCUAUUUGAACACGUGCUACCAUUUAAGCAAAUGCUGUGGGAAGCUUUCUGAUGGACGUGACUGUUCUUGGGGAAGAACCAGUGAAAACUGGUGUAACUGGAGACUUUCCUGCCGUGCUGGUGCUGUGGGGCAGCAGUCGGGGUCGCAGCAGCGGUGAUGCUCUGCAGGGAAUGGCACAGCUGGUUGGGAAGCAGGGCCAGCAGAAACCACCUUCCUUCUUGCGUUGCUGUCGUGCCCGACCCUCGUGUUCCACCAGCGCAGGUGGAGUGUGUGGUGACGUGGUGGAGAUGACGGACCCAGGAGCUUCUGAAGCACACCAUUUCAGAGAGUUUCAAUUUACAGAAGAAAUGAAUGCACAUCAGGUGUUCCUGCCAAGAAGCCCAGCUGGAUGGGUUUGGGGUUUGGAAGACAGUACUUUGAUACCUCAGGGUCCUGUCUAGAGUCUGCCAGUCAUGCAGACACCUUGCUUUCAGAUGGUUCUUCUCCCCCCACCCUCAACAGCAGUUGCUCUAUUCACACCUACCUCCUCUUCAGCCAUGGUUUGUUGCAAGACAGCUUUCCCUUCUGAAGAGGUUGAACUGCUCACUUGAGAGGCGAAUGCACAUCUCACUUCAACACGCAUGACUGUGGCCAGUUUCUGGUGACCAGUGAACCAAGAUGGACCAAUAAUUCUUUUCAGAAUUACAGAACACUCAUAAGAUUUUUUUGACGUUGCUCAGGUGCUAACAUUUGGGCUGGGGAGAAGGAUUGGUUUCUACAUGUCUGAAGGCUUUUCCUCUUCAGGAUUUUGUUUUUCAACUGGAUCAACAGACCAGUCUGGCACUGCACCUAACCCUGUGAUGACUGGUAGCCACACGAGAGAGCUGAUGGCAAGCUACAUUAAUUGCCCCCAGCAAAACCUUGUUACUUCUCCCCGAAAUCUGACGUCCCAAGGGACAGAGGAAGAACUCCACUCCUCUAAAAGGCAUCCACCAAAGACUACAUCAAAGAAAGGAGAUUUUUAAAGGAGCCAGUAGGAAACACUGAGCAGAAUUAUUUCGAUCUUACCCCACUCUGUGGUCCCUGUGACCUGGGAGGGGGCUACUGGGCUUCAAAACACUUGAAGGAAGAAGCACUUGUGGGCACACAGAGAGGAUGUGCUGCUGCUCCUGGUGGGCUGGGGGGAGGAUUCCCCCAUCGCUGUAUUUUCUCUCUCACUACAAAGUGCUCCCUUAUGUCGUGGCCUCACCCUGUGGACCUUUGAAGGACCAGAUCCUGAAGAAGGUGGAGAAUCCUGUGCCAAGAAUAUCAAGCCUUCUCUUCGCCAUUCAGGCACUGAUCUACCUUGAUGAAUAUAGACCUGAAGAGAGGACUCCUUUGAACAUCCCUGUGUGUGUCUGUUACAGAGCCAGACCUUUCUGGUGUUCACAGCCUGUAGGAUUCUUUCACAGCUGCUUGGCUGCCACAGGGGAGCUAGGGAAGGUGCAUUGGAGAACCACCAGAAUUCAAGUGAUUUUUAUUUAAUUUUCCUGUCUGCAGUCACAGUGCAAAAAAGGUCGGGUCCAGUCCCGGGUUCUGCCCUCUACAGCCAACCAGGUAAGCUGGUCUGGACUGAAAGCAUACCUUAGCCAAGUCAGAGGUUUCUCCCCUGUGUACAACAAGAACCACAGACUUUAAUUUGAGUAAAAACAUGAGUUAACUGUGCAGUGGAGAAAUAUCCCCAGAGCAGCUUCUCAGGAUGUCAUCAUAAGUCUUCAGUUGUGGAAAAACAAAGUGAUGAGACCUGAAUUUCUACUGUUAAAACUGGGGAGGAAAGAGGUUGCAGGGUGGGUUUUUUAAUUAAUCAAAAAGAAGUCACCUUUGAAGGUGACCCAUUCCUUGGCUGCUCCUGGCUUGAUGGUAUGUGAGAAGCAAUACUGUUCUCUGUGAAAACAGGAAGUGCUUUGUUUUCACUUAAGAACAAACAAACAAACAAAAAAAUCAAACAAAAAAAGCCCCAGAAGUCCCUGUCCUUAAAGGUCUGAUUAUGCUGGACCAAGCACAAAAUCUAUUACGGAGGUAUUAGUUGCCUGCACUGUUUGUGUAGUCACACAUCACACCUGCUAUUUCCCGUAGGAGUCUAACACCGGUAGUGUUUUCCAUCCCAAACUGGGUACGGUGCUGGAACACCACACAGAAAAGGAAUCUGCGAGGAACAGGCCUGAGCUGUGUUAAACCAAUGACUUAACAUGACUUCAAAAGAAAAAAGCCACCCAGGAAAACCAGAUGAUGAAAUUUGCCACCAUUCAAUUAAAAAGUCAUCCUUUCCUGUUGUUCAGCGAGCGCUGGGCUUCCCAAGUUCACCAGUCUUUCCUGGGAUAAGUGACUCAUGAACCUGAUAGGAAAAUGCACCUGUUUUUAGCCAGCGCUUUCAGCAGCUCUCCAGUUACCAGAGUAAACAAAGGAUUUAUUUCUGUCCUUAGCAGUUACCCUGCAAAGUCCAGGAACACAGGAUGGCUGGCAGGAGCAAUUAGGUCUGAGCCAAGUUUGCUGAAGUCAGUAGAAGGUCUGUGAAGUCCAUGGUAAGAUGCUUGUAGAUGCCAGUAGGGUUUGGCCUGUGGCUUUUCCUAGACAGAAAAUGGGACAGCAAAGUUGGUGCAGUGAUUGUGCCGGCUGCCGAGGACUCCAAGGAGCUGGAAGGUGUCUGCUGUGGUGUGGAACAUGUAUUCUCUUCUCUGGUCUAGAGAUCUCCAUCUGUACUCUUGGCAGAAGAGCAGCUGGCAGUCACAGAGGUGUGAUGGGUAUAGAUGCAUUCAAGUCUAUGAGACUGAUCAGAGACCACAGUAAUGGCAACCAUGAAAGUGGUUAAAAUAUUUGGAGAUGAGAGUGGUGGAUGUAUUGGUAUCAUGGAAGCUGAGGGGUUCAAUUAGCUGAGAGUCACUUAUUAAUCCCGGCAUGAGAAAUGGGAUGUGUUUGAUCUCCACAGAGAAGCGCUGAAAAGUGCAAACACAACAUCAGCUUAUUUCAGGUCAGCACUCAAGAUGGUAUAAAGACAAGAUGGAUUUUAGCCUUUAUUUAACUGGAUUUAAUUACAUGCAUGAGCUUCAAAGUGCCUAAGGCUUAAUGGAUGGUGACCUCAGGUCUUACUGAAAAAGCAACAACAACCUAAACCUUAAGCUUCUUGGUUAGACCAUAUGGCAUGAGCGCACCAUGUGAUGUUUCAGGAAGGGAUGUAAGGAAUAAAGCACCCAGCGCAUCCAAAGCAUUUGCCAAGAUUUCCUGCUUCACUCAGAAGAAUCUGGACAUCGACCUCGCCUGCCCUCUGUACCAGUGUGGCUCAGGAGCUUGGCUGGGACAGACAGGAGACAGAGUUUCCAACCACAUCUCCCUAAGAAGUCCCUAAUGCCCUCGGACAGAGCAUGCUGAAACUUGGAGAAGAAAAGGAACGCUUGAAUUUUCAGUUUGGAAGAUCCAUGUGGCUAGGAAAUUGCAAAUAACCAAAUUUAAGGAAAAGAGGAAAUAGCCAAAGGCUUAUUAUCUUAAUUUUGUUUUAAUUAGUGUUAGCAUGCCAGAUAUUGUGAGUGUCAUCUAUUUGUAUUUCUGGCUGUGUUUGAUUUCAGAUAACGUACAAAGUCUCUCUUUCUGCUUUGGAUACCACAACGUGGUUCCAAAUAAAGUCUUGGAGAGCUACCAUUAGAAAAAAUAGAAAUGAUCAUUAAAAAAAACUGUUUGUGGAACUGAGACCUGCCGAGACAUGGCUAAAUGUAAUUGCUUGUGGCAGAUGUUUAUGGGAAAACUGAAAGUUUUUUAAUUGCUUAAUUAUUGAAUAAGCAGAAACGUUGAGGUAGGGAAGGAUACAACUUGGGUAUGCCACUACUUCAAGUGACUGCAGCACGGUUCUGUCCAUGGCAGGAAGUCUGUGCCAUGUUGAUUCACAGCCUGAUCGAGCAGAGAUGAAAAAGGUUGGUGUAACAAAUCACCAGCUGGAAUGUUUUGAAUUUCCAGUGCCUGCGCGGUGCUUGGCAUCCACACAGAGCAGCCACCCCAGGUGCUCCCACUUUGAAGAUGAUCAGCUCCAGACCCUCACUUUCAUCUUGGUCACAUAUCCAAUUGAAAGGACCUUGACGUAACCGUGUCUGUUUCACAUUUAAAAGAGAACUGCUUAAAAGCCGAUUUAAUAAUUUGUGUGUGCACCUAAGAAUCUCAAAGCUUUAGCCAUAUCAAUUAAUUCUGGAGGCGACCUCAUGAGGUGAGUAUUAUCCUAACGUAGAUAGGAGUUCGGUGAGGCAUGGUGAAUGUUUUGCUACCUGGAAAACUUCUGUGUCUGGUAAAGGAUGCCAGCCCUUACCAGCCUCUGUGAAUCACCUCAGUGGGCUGACUAACAUCCACCUGCUCUGGCUCUGAACCAUAGAGCUCAGAAGUGUCACAUUCACAUCCUCAACACGUUGCUCCUCCUGGCCCACUGAGUGCCACCCAGACACAGCAUGGUGAGGGCACCUGAUGUGCUGGCUCUGCACUCACCAGGGUGAGAUUUGCUGGCUCCUGCAUGCAGCAGUGGGCCCAGGUGUGUUUAUGGCACAGUCCUGGGGUUCCUCCAAUGCAUGCUAGUUCUCUAGCAAAGAGGAGACACAGGAACAUACAUUAAUGUCAAAGGUCUCGUCACAGCUCUUUUGUAAUGUCUCUUUGUUGUUGCACGCUGGGCUGAGCUUCCAGCUGGUGGCUUUUCCCUCCGCAUCGCCUAAUCUUGGAAGUCUCUCAUCAAACUUCUCCCUGGGAAAGUUGGUAGUUCAUGACACUGAAGCAGGGAGUCCCUGGCUCUGGAGCACAUCUCUGCUACCUGGCAUCCCAGGCUGUGAGUAGCAUCACCCCGUACCCUUGGUGACUCACGUGGGCCUGCCUUCACAGCCUGAGCUGACUCACCAUGGGAUCAGGCAAUGACCAGCGCUGACUCAAGGAAUGGGGCAGUAGACCCUGACCAAGGAGAAUGGAGAAGUCACAAUGGCCUCAGCCUCAUCCUGUCGAAGGUGUCAUGAAACUGCCCUCUAAGAUUGGUCUCCUUAAAGAGUAAUCCAGCGUGAGAGUUCCACCAGGAACACCAACACAACAAAUUUGGUUUGUUUUUUCUGUUAUGGUCUGUCCCUCUCCAGUGCUCCUUUCACUUACAGAUCAUCCAUGGACCACACGGAACUCUCUGGCAGCCUCCUGCUUUUGCUGUGCUUGAAAAAAACUUAUCAUUCAGUUUUAUGCCUUUAGCAAGUUGCUUUUCAUUUUCUUGUACUUUAUUGUAGUUUCACAUCCACUUUUUCAGCCUUUGUGUUCUUUCCCAUCUUUCUUAAAUCCCUAUUUUUUGAAGAAUUUUUUUUUUACAUCUCAGAAGUGUUACAUGGUUUAAUCACAUUGGCUUACUUUUUCUUUUAUUGCAAUACUUUUUUAUUUGAUGCUGAGCCUUCUGUAAAGUGUCUUUAAACAAUUUCAUGUCAUCUCCAAGUGCUUUACUCUUUUUAGCUGCUGAUUUCAAUGAAUUUCCUCACUUUUAUGUGGUUCCCCUUUUUAAAGGUAAAUGUUUAAUUCAGUACGUUCAAUCUAUGUCGAACUUCUGAGAACUUGAGUCACUUACUUAUUUUUCCCUCCCUGGCAUGAACUGUUCUGACAUUUAUACUGUUUAAACCUGGUAUAAUAGUAUUUUGCUAAUUAGUUCUUACUAGAAAGUUUCCCAGAUACGUAUGUUGCCAAUGUUCUUAUUUAAAGCCAGGCAUUCUAGUUCAUCCUCCUUUAUUUUCACAUUGCUGACAUUUGUACAGAAAUGGUUUUAAAUGUGGUCAUGAGCUACCUAGCUGGUUUUUUUUUUGGGGGGGGGGCUGGGGGGGUAUGCACACACGUGCCUUAGUUGGGGCUUCAUUUAUAGACCCUGGUCUUCUCUGUUUUCCACUUCACUCCAUUGCUUUCCAUUCUAUCUUUUUUCUUAACAGAGAGAUUUGAAAGCUUCAACCAAACAGCAUGUUCUUCCAUACCUCUUCCUUAUGCCCAGUUUUUAAUUUAAAACUCUCCUGCAACUCUAACUCCAUUAACUCCCAACUCCUUUCUGUCUUGUUUACAGAGGUCUCAUUUUUUUCUACAUGGGCUCAACUUUUCUAAAUAGCUUUCCCCUUUUCUAAUAAACCUAGCGACGUCUGUAACAAUAGCCUUGCAAGCUUCUUACAUUUAUUUUGCAUACAUAGAACUAUUUAAUAUCACUUAUCAUUCAUCUCCAGGGUUUGAAGUGCUCUCCUUUGCCUGCCCACUUGUGCUCUUCUCUUUGCCACAGUUAAUAGCACAAUCAGUCAUGCUGGAAAGUUACACCCAACCAAUAUUAGGAAACGCUCCCUGCUGCCUUGUAAAUCCCUGGUGCCACCAGUAAGAGCGGAGGAGGAGGAGGAGGAGGAGGCGGUGGAGGAGGCAUUCCAAGCAGAUGGACUCUCAGGCAAGUGAAAUGAAGCUGAGUAGGUCACCCACACUGCUUAUCACGGUCACAUUCACUCAUGGUGAAAUCUUGCCCACUCAACAUCGUCUGGGAAUGUCGCCGUUUGCCGUUCCGGUGGGAAUGGUGUGCUGCUUGGAGAUUUCAGCCACACGCUGCAUUUUGACAGUACCUCUGGGGCAAUCGAGCAGCUCCCUCCCUCUGCCCCUUCCUGUCCCUCCCUGGGCAUGGAUGCUCAUCCACCGAACAACAGCAGAGACCGAGGUACCACGUCAGCCCUGCAGUGGUGUUAAACUACGCCUCUUCCACACGCAGUGUGAGACGGGUUCUUCAGUAGACACAGGGGUUUGUUUACAGCAUUUUCCUGUGUUUAGAUAGUUUCUUAUUCGCACAGGGAGUGAUCAAAACUCAGGUACACCGUCUCAGUGAACAAGAUGAGUGCAUCUGCGGAAAAGGAACGUGAUACAUGCACAUGGAGAACAAGUGUGAUGUCUCUCCUGUUUCCCCCUCCCCAGCACUGCCAUGCCAUGCUCCCUCUGAUCCAUGACCACAACUCCGUGCCUCAGACGUCACUCCACAGCAGCACAGCCCUUUCCCAGGAGAUAAGUGAGGGUGGUUUUUUUUUUUUUUUUGCCUACACAACAGCUCUCCUGAGCUUUCCCAUGCUGGGAGGGAGGGAGGAGAUCCAGCUUCCUCCCUCCCUGUCCAAGCGCCAGCCCCCUGGGCCUGCCCUGGCACCGCUGGGAACAUCCAGGGGCAUUAUGCAAUUUGCAGAGGCGGUUUUUUUCAUGCAGCCUGGCAAAGCAGCCUCUGAUAAUGGCUCUCCCUUUGUGUGUAGCACACAAUCGAGCUCAUGAUCUUCUCUCCAGCACAGGCAGCCCACGGUGUUGUGUCCUGUACUGCUGUGAUGACGAGAGCAGGGCCAUGCACAGGACAGGGAGCCCUGCGGCGCUUGCAUCAGUGAAUCACCUACCCUGAGUGCUAGUUAGGCACAAAUCAUUAAUGGUCUAAAAGGGCUGGAAUAAGCUAGCUCGGCUUCCAGUGGAAGCGUGGAUUGUGUCUUUUUCAGGAGGCAUGGGAAGCCCUUCUUACAUCUUUUUUUAAACUUCGCGACGUUGGCUUCUGAGUAAUGCUGCUGAUUUCAUUUUCCAAAGGUCACGGGGGAAUUCUCUUCUGCCAUCUCCAAAGGGCAUGAUAAAUGUUCCUCUAACAAAGUAAGGAAUUGUUCAACACAAUGCGCUUAGCAAUUACCUUGCCAUAAAGGUAUUUACAACAGGUACAGUAAGAUAAACCAGUUUGUCUCCUAUUGUUUUUCAAAGGGGGACAAAAAAGGGAAAGGCUGUAGCCAUUUUGUGGUGAAUUGGAGGGAUAAAUAUAAUUUUAUGUCCUCACUGAAUGCUUUCAUGGGUCUUAAAAGAUACUUUAAUAGACUUAAAAGUCUAUUUAUAGACUAUUCUGUUUAUAGACAAUCCCUUUUAGAGAUCAGAAAACAUAGUCACUUCUGUAUUCCGUGUAUCUAUUUAAAUUGCAUCCAAAUUUAAAGUUGUCCAUGACACAUUAAUUCAGUGCCUUUUCUGAAGGGAAAUGAAUUUUAUAAUUCUGCCUCCUGCAUAAUGCUCUUUCUCAUUUUGGACCUAAGUUUGCUUCUAAUACGGUGGGCAGAGGAGUCAGCCACGCAAGAAAUGAGAAGCAAAGGCUCUACAGCGUGUUACUGAAUGCAGAUCUGAUACCAGCACCAGUGUGGGUCCGUUUGGCAGGAGGAAAACCAGCCCUUCACCCUGGCCCGUGGGAUAGAAACACGGUGCAAAUCCAGUUCAACAAGUGUGCACCUACCUCCCUGACCUCUUCCACUUGGCAGCCUUUUCUGCCCAUUUUUGUCUGAGAGGCCGAUGUGGGAGUGAACCACGGAAACCAAACUGCCCCUCCAGCCCUCAGACUGGUCCCAGUCCGUUCUACUGCACGUGCACUGGCCUGACAAGGUGAAGGAGAGAUUUCAUCACCCUGGCGUGUGGGUAAGUAGGGGCCAGUGCAAUCAGCCCAGUGUUUUUCACCAGCAUGAGGUAAAAAUUUGGAGAAAAAGACACAGCCACUGUCUGUGGCUAUGUGAUGGGCAGGUGAUGGUACCUGCUUUUGCUGCAGAAGAGGAGGCAGUGUAACAGCUCUCUGGAGUGAGCAUCCCAUCUAUUUUCUUGGGGCUGGGGGCUCAACUGUAGCCCCGAGUCAGAGACAGCAUGGAUUUCCAUUUUCCAGAGAUGCAGGAUUUCCAGCUUCUGUUUGAAAGUCUGGGUGACCUUCAGCACUCCUGCUGUGCCUGUGCAAGCAAAGCUCCCCACUCUGAACUGCCUGUGGGUCACACACCACUAGGAAGAGGGGAGAUGUUGUAGGUAAAGCACUGAGAAAUGGGUACAAAGGAGAAAGGGUCUGUGGCUCUGCCACCAAGUUCUUUUUGCAAUCUUGUGCAGAUCAUUUCUCACAUCUGUGCAUCCAUUUCCGAUCUGUGACAUGAAAAUAGCAGUAUUUAAUCUCACCCAUGCACUGUUGUCCUACACUAUAAAAUCUUCCAAGGAAAAACUGCCUAUUCCUAGGCUAAUAUACAGAGUCUAGCGCCACAGGGCACUCUUUCUCCUACCUGUUUCCAUAUGUGGUGUCUGGGCUUUGCAAUGACUGUCAUGUGGGGUAAACCGUGACAUCUUUGUGAUACGUGCAUUUGUGUCCAGCCUCGAAACGUUAUUUCAUUCCCUGAGGUGUGUGCUGUUAUCAGCUGAAUGAAAUGUCCCAGUGCCCUGGCAAUUAUUCAUUAGGUAAGAUUUAAUGUGUGUGCGUGCAGGGCUGGCAGCUACAAGUGGAUCCCACGGGAGAGGUCUGUGAGCCAAGCUUGUGUCAGCUGUAGGGUAAGGAUGGGUGAGUAACUGGAAUAAAGAUAACAAACUGGUGAGAUCAGUAGCAGUUUGCCCAAAACUUAACCCAAAACCUUUCCUUUUCAUCUUGAGGCCAAUCUCACUGUUCAGAUCAGGCGGCUGUGAGACUUGGGGUGGAUUUGCAAAUCCUAGAACACCUAGAACAAAUCACAGCGCUGGACUGAGGCAAAGCAAUGUUUGGGACCCAAAUCCAGCUGCCACCUGAUUACUGUUUUCCUGUUCAAAGGACUACCUCUGCAGUAUUUGGUGGCUGCCUUGGUCACACCAGUUUGGACUGGAGAGCAUCUGGAAAUCCAGUUACAAGAUCACGAAGCAGUUGUCUUCUCAUUUCUGAAAUAUCAGCAAACCCUCCUCCGCAAAACUGAAAAUGUUUUGAAUAAUAAAAUGAAGGAUGAGAUUCUUCAAGCUUGGCUGGGGGAGCAGAACGACUCAUCCCUGCUACAAUUAAAAGGGACAUCUACAUCUCUACACCUCCUGGGCAGCCCUGCUUGGGGCAUCAUAGCUGGGGCUUCUCAGUCUGUCACGUGCCAGGAGGUGACAGCAGCAGAGGACUUCUGCUGUGAAUGCUGGCCUUGCACAGAGAAGGAUGUAUUUCAAAAACAAAGAGCUCCUGAGCUGGUCUUCUGUGGGUGUCUGACUGCAGCUUGUUCAAACAUAAGUCAAUCACUCUAGUUAACAGCUCUACCUGAGAGGCGGCUGUAGGACUGAUCCAUAAUAGGACUCCCUAAUGCAUUGGCUGCACUGUUUUAUUGCAGGUUUUAUUACACACGGAGUACUCACAUCACGUCGCCUUCCCAUAGCAUGAGGUGUUUAUCUCCUGGGUGAGGAUUAGCACAGCACCGUACCACGAAGUCGAGUAUAGCUGAGUAAGUGGUUUAGUGUAAUCCUCCCGGGGAUUGCUGUCCUGAUGGGAUUCCUGGGAAGGCCCUAGGCUUGUACCAGGCUUUGAGAUGGCUUUCCAUCAGAUUUUCGAGAGGGCUUUUUGGAGUUUGUGCAGCUUUUCUGUGAUGGAGUCUGUCUCCAAGACAUCUGGGCAGUGAUUGGGUCGGCAAAGACCAUCGCAGAGCUUAAAGAUGAUCUGUGUUGUUGUGUGGAGAAGACCCCACUGAGUCAUCAGAUGAUCAGAGUAUGACUCUGACAAGGGGCCACCCCAGUACAGGCUUCACACAGGGUCCUGUCUGGACAGUUGUGUUUGAAGUUGGUGUUCUCUGCAGAACAGGGUAAGAGCGUGGCCGCUGCACUGCCCAGGCACUUAGAAAUCUGUUUCCUAGUGGUUAGAAUAAAGAGCAAACAGGAGCUACUCAAAGUCACAGCGAUUUACAUCCUAUAUCCUCUCUUCUUAUUUUGUUAUUAGCCAAUGGCGAAAUUUUCUGGUCUGGGUUAUGUAGGAAAUUUGGUCCAAGCCCACACAUAAGCGCAGAAGAGACCUUUGAAUUAAAGUUACUAAACAAAAGGUUUCCAGCAGGAAAAAAUGAAAGCAGUGCCAGUCUGUCUUAGAGUGACAUUUCUAGACUAAGAAGGUCAUGCACAAUGACAAAAUAGAAGGUCCUACAAUAACAAAACAGAAAUAAUGGUAGCUGGAAAAGGAGCUUUGAUGGUGAGGGAGCUUUUAAGCAGUCCAGAUAUAAAGCAUAUCCUUGGGGCCCUGGCAAGGAUGCAAACUUCUCUCCCACACAACCUCAGUCACUCUUGAAAAGCCAAGUUUUAGAAUUUUAAAAGGCAAAAAUAUUACAGCAACAGCAACAACAAACAUGAAAAUCAUAUGUUAAAUGAUUACUAAUGAUCUUAUCAAUGUGGUGUAUAAUUGAGAGGGAGAGGAGGCCAAAAGAAGCACUCAACGUUCUUCAGGUUUAUCUUUUUAAGUAUUCAACGAUUAUUGAUGGGACUAAAGCAAACUAACAGCUGGGUUUUGCAGAGAGGUCUCAGCUUUAUAAUGGAGAAGGCAUUGUGUUUGAGGGAGGACGGCAAAUGGACUCCUGCAGUACAAAAGUAGCCAAAGGAAAAAUCAGAUACUAAGAUCUGUGGAAAGAGGGCUUUUGGCUGGACAGCUAAUUUUUUAGCUUUUUUUUUUCAGAACCCAACUGCCUGGAGGCACCUAGAGUCAAUUGAAAUGUGUAUUGGUGGGCAUCCCAGCGUGGUACCCAUGGGGUAGUUGGAUGCCCAGGCCAUCCCUCUAGCCAUGCUCAGGUGCAGAUAGAUGCUGUGUGCUCUGUUGGGGCAAGCAGAGAUGGGACAACAGCGUGAACGUGUUGCAGAGGCUGUGUACCUUUAGCUCCCCAGUUCAGAAAUAACCCAGAGAGACAAACAGGCAAUUGGGAGACAUAAUUGCUCCGGCAGCCCAACGAGGCCACAGGAUAUUUGUGGGCACCAGCGCUGCAGCAGGGAAAUCAGGGCAGUUGGUGCUUCCCUUGUGCAAAACGGCCAGGGCACAAACCCCAGCUGCGUGUGAGCUACUGGAGCAAGCUGUGAAAAGCACUGGGCCUGGUCAGUUAUUUAACUGUCAAUCAGUUGACCUUUCUGAAAUACUCCGUAUUUUACUGUUGCGUUAGGAACUGUGAAAAAUGCAGGUCCUCUCUUCUCGCAGCAUUGCAAGUCUCCCUGGGUCAAUAAUCUUGUCAAAUUAUUUCACCCUGCUCCCAAGCAUUUAGAUUUUUCAGGCCUUUUCCCCACUGGCUCUGCUCUUUGGCAGUCUUAGAAAUGGAAAAGCGGUAGGCUUUUGGUGAAAAUGUGAAUGUUGGCAAAGGUCCCUAAAGUCAAAUAUUGAGAGAAUCACUGACUGACUGGGAGAGCCACAUGCAGCACCUAAAUGCACAUAUUUAAGCAGUAAUUGAAGUAGUUUUUCGGAAAUCAUGUUGCUUUGCUGCAUUGUCUGUGCUCUUCUAGGUCUGGCUGGUUUUCUGCUGUUGUUAAGAACAAAACACACCUCAUUUGCUGCAGAAAACAAAGGCUCAUUUAGGAUCAUUACGGCUGACGUUGCAUCCAGGCUGCUCUUUGCCACCGUUCCCUUUGGAGAUGAAGCUGGUUUGAGAAGGUCCCCCUGCCCUGAGCCCUGCUCUCGUCCUGCCCACCCACUGCUGCCUGCUCUCCACCCCCCGAGGGGUGCAGGACAGCCAUGGGUGGCCUGUGCUGGGACCCCAACCGCUGAAAUCACCGGGUGGCAUUUUUAGGAGGUUACAAAGUGUGUUUAACCUGGAUUCACAGAGUGUCCCGGUGAAAGAAAGAACCCAGCAAGUCAAAACAGAUCAUCUUCUUGUGGGAUUAAUGAGCUGAAGCAGGUUUUACGAGCCCCAAAGCCAACACAAAGGAGGCAAUGGGAACUUCUCCCGGGAGCGGGGAUGGGGACAGGGACAA
Calidris pugnax (ruff) is the source of this 14002-nucleotide long non-coding RNA. RefSeq lists it as uncharacterized. Lineage: Eukaryota; Metazoa; Chordata; Aves; Charadriiformes; Scolopacidae. The transcript has 11 exons. The record is from RefSeq and is a predicted model, not a curated record.